This 115-nucleotide ribosomal RNA is filed under the name Danio rerio (zebrafish). Lineage: Eukaryota; Metazoa; Chordata; Actinopteri; Cypriniformes; Danionidae. The record is from RNAcentral.
GCCCACAGCUAACUCUGUGCAACUCUCACAUGGUCACCCUCUAAAGCUAAGCAGGACUGUGCCUGGCCAGUACCUGGAUGGGAAACCACAAGGGAAAGCUAGGUUGCUGCUGGAA